UACAGAGGGCUCGAGCGUUAAUCGGAAUCACUGGGCUUAAAGCGUGCGUAGGCGGACUUGAAGGCGCCUUGUGAAAUCCCUCAGCUCAACUGAGGAACUGCUUGGCGAACCACGAGUCUUGAGGUCGGUAGAGGCGGUCGGAACGAUAGGUGGAGCGGUGAAAUGCGUAGAUAUCUAUCGGAACGCCAAUGGUGCAGACAGGCCGCUGGGCCGCACCUGACGCUGAGGCACGAAAGCGUGGGGAUCAAACGGG
Molecule: ribosomal RNA, 253 nt
Filed under: uncultured bacterium
Lineage: Bacteria
Description: partial 16S ribosomal RNA
Rfam family: Bacterial small subunit ribosomal RNA
Source: RNAcentral